AUAUGGGAAUGGGAAUGAGAAUGAGAAUAUGGAGAAGCCAACAUCGUCGGUCGCAGCCAGCUACAGAUACAGAUACGAGUAUAGAUACAGGCCGAGUCGCGUCCCCGGUCUGCGGCCGUGGCCUGGGCCGGGGCAGGGGUAGGGUAAAGGUGUCGUUGGCGGUGGUUGUGCCGUCGUCGCCUUCAGUUCGCUUUCGUGCUUCUCUGAGAUGUGCUCGAGGACAAGGACGAGGAUGCGAGGCGGGCAUGGCACACCAACAAGAAGGUCGUAAACCCUCAGCAGCAGCGAGUGGACUGCGGCAGAGGCAGAGCCGAUGGCAACACUUUCGAGAACACAACGCCACGGUAAUAGGAGCGGGAGAGGCAGCGAGCGGAGAGCAAUGAGCAGAGAGGCAGCACCAGCAACGACCCAAUGCCAAAAGAUGAAAAGCCAAGCAAGAGGAGCAGCGGCAAUAAAACGCGCGUGUAUCUGGCCUCUCCCUCCCACACGCAACCUUCUCUCUUGCUCUCGCUGGCCAUCGGCAGCAAAACAACCACCCGAGCUGUCGCUCACAUACACACACACACACACACACAACCAAAGACACAGAGUCCCAUGGACAUGUGCGAGCGCGCAUACACUGACACAUGUCCAAUCAUUUUAUAUACGCCAUUUGCUGUCUGCCGCAGAUACAUUUGUAUCUUUAUGUGCCAAACAAGUCCAUGCCGGUCCGUCGACGCCGUAAUCUCUCGCUGCCGUUGACGCUGUGGCCGGGGCAGGGGUUAAGACUGAACCUGACGAUGGCAACGAGUCAAUUUUGGAUUCCAGUUUCCCAUCGCGGUGGUUGUUGGUGUAAUCAUUUGAUUGUUAUUCUUUCUACAUUUCGCUCAUCCCUGAUUCCCCGUUCCCCAUUAACUUCUACCCCCGUCUUCGCACCACCAUUACCAGCGGCAUCAGCACUACUACAUAUAUAAAUAUGUAUGUAUGUAUGUUCAACCGUUGGCUGGGGUUCAGAUGCCAGGCAUCUCUCGCACGCUUAUCUUUUGAUUACCAGAUCGAAUUGUGUUGAAUUAGGUACAUAUUCUUUGCCAUCUAAUACUUUGAAAACUUUUAAUCAUUACCCUACCCCGCAUAUGCCGCGAAUUAGAUUUGGACCCCUCGAAAUGAUUGCAAUGAGUCUGAGAAUAUUCCAGCUAAGAAUAUUCUCAAAACCAACUUCAAUUCUGGAGAAAGUACUGAUCCGCUGACUUAUAAGACGACAUUUACAUCCAGAUCAUUUCUAUCAUAAUUUCAUUCAAUUAAAAUAUCAAUUUUGAUAUCCUAUAACGAAUGCUUCUGCUUAGCAUCAAGGAAUAUAUAUGUAUUUCAGAUUUAAUUAGCUUAAGUAAGUUAAAGAUAUUAGAUUUCUAGUCAGGCGGAAAGCCCCAUGUAAAUCCCAUGUCUUCUGAAGGAAGGAAGUGAAGGUCUGGGCAAGUAAGAGCUCGCAUUCUUUGCAGAUAAUAUCUAAGAAAUGCAUUUAAAAUUAUGAAACUAUAGGGUUCUGUGAUUUGUUCAUACAUACAUACAUAUGUACAUAUGUAUGUAUUGUAAAACAUUUGUUUUAAUGACCUCCACCAUUUUAGGCUCAUAUGUAUGUAGAUAUAUUAAAUAUUUGUUCUAGUACAUAGUAAUUAAUUUAAUAUGUUUAUUCAGAUACCUAUUUAGCCAAACAUUUUGCCGUAACCUUGUCGGUUUUUCUAUCUAACCAGAUCUACGUAUACUUACUGCCCUGUACUUCAUUUUUCAUAGAUAGCACUUUUUAACCGAUACACAUAAACCAUUUUAGGCCAGUUCUAGAAUGCUCCACCAGCGUACAGAUGUUCCCCAAAGGUACGAAGUAAUUGUGUAAAACAGCAGACCUCGUUUAAAAAUUUUUUUAAUAAGCCGCCCUGACUAAAAUAGCUUUUAUUUCAAAUUUCAAAAGAGCAUCUUUGAAAAUAGUUGAAAACAACUACAAUUUUAGGUUCGGUGGUUGUUUGUUUCGUCAGACGCAAACCCUGCCACCCACUCAGUUCAUCCCCAAUCCAUCCGAGAAAAGAGAAGACACCCACUCCAGUUUGAUGGGUGAAAGCAUCUGCGUGCACUAUACAUAAGGUAAAAACCAUCUGAACCGAGCUGAACCGAACACAUAGCCACCCAAUCUGUGAGCCUUUGAGAAUACCAAUGUUUAUAUACGAGUAUGUAUAGAAUACACCCUUCUCUGGUACUGUAAAACUUCCCUCUGCAUCGAUGAAAGCUUAUUCAAAUUCUUGUGGAUACAUAUUUGCAAGAAGGUUUGUUAUCAGUCCUAUACAUGUACAUACAUACAAUUAUAUGUAUGUAUCUCCCGGGUACAUUUACAACGCGGGUUCAGAUUUGCUUCCAACCCCAUUUUAGGGGUUGAAUAAAGUUUAAACAAACACGAGA
Drosophila miranda is the source of this 2424-nucleotide long non-coding RNA. RefSeq lists it as uncharacterized. The transcript is spliced from 2 exons. The record is from RefSeq and is a predicted model, not a curated record. Lineage: Eukaryota; Metazoa; Arthropoda; Insecta; Diptera; Drosophilidae.